Long non-coding RNA from Populus euphratica (Euphrates poplar), 1633 nucleotides. RefSeq lists it as uncharacterized. The record is from RefSeq and is a predicted model, not a curated record. The transcript has 3 exons. Lineage: Eukaryota; Viridiplantae; Streptophyta; Magnoliopsida; Malpighiales; Salicaceae.
CCUAAUUUUUCCAGGUUAGUUCUUCAUCGUGCUUGUUCUAACUUAAAUAGUAUUGAUCCAACAAAAAUUUUGAUUCGAGUUUUGUUGUUAAUAAUUUAUAUAUUGGUCUACCCACAACUGAAAACUCAAUAACUGCUUAUGUUACUUGGUUCUAGAAGGUUAUAUCUCUACAUGUUUUGUUAAUUUAUUGUUGAUGUUUUCAUUAGCUUAUUCUGUAAAUUUGGGUUGAAAGUUUUUGGUGUGACUCUCGUCAGUGAUUGCUUUUGGAAUCCAUGGAUGGAUAGUUGUGAGAAAAAGUUUUAAUUUGAUAAUUAUGGUUGAGUAGUCCCAACUAUAAAAGUAACUAUAAAGUACUUACAUAUACUAUUUUUCCUUGAUGUGAUAUUUGUAAGUAACUUAAAUUAUUUGACCGACAUGUUUUUGGAUACUGGUGGAGCAUUGUUUGUGUCUAAGGGCUUGUCUAUAAAUGUGUGUACUUUUUAAACAUUUACAUGAGCUAAAUUAUUAAUGAUGUUGAUAUGACUCUUGCAAUAGUUUGCAUGCUUAUAUUGUUGAUUCUUCUUCUUAUUCUCAUAAGUAUUUACCUAAACUGUGAUAUGUCGAGAUUUGGAUGUGUCCAUAAACUAAUGGUUUGGUUUGCAUAACUAUGAAUGGUUACGAUAAAAAUCUUAUAUGUUAUUUUACAUGAUGAUCCUUAUACAUGUUUGUGAUGCCUUAAUUGUCAAUAUAAUCUAUAAUUAGCUUACCAUACAGGUUGUAUAUACUCUCAUAAAUAGGAAAAGCGAUUUAGCUUACCAUGUAUAGCUUCCAAAAAUCACUCUAGUUUUCUGGUUUCCUUUAAUAACUAGCAACAACCUGGUUUCCUCAUAUAGUUAGUUUCCUUGUAUAAACUAGUAGGUGGCCUAAUAUGUAAUGGUGAUGUCCUGAAAAUUAUUUCAUUCUGAAUUCUAACCAUUCUAUCAUGGUAUCAGAUCCCUUAGUCAUAGUUUUCUAAAAACUCCCAGCCAUUUUUUCCUCUCUCUCAAUUGUAAUCUUAGUCCUUAUGGAGAAGUCAAAUAAUGUUUGUGCUAGAUUUAUUAGCAAAAAUUAUACUGCUUGGGAGUUUCACUUGGAGACUUUUCUCAAAGGUAAAGAGUUGUAUUUUCUUAUCUUAUCUUAAUGGUUUUUGUCUAUACCAAAAUAGCACUUUUAUUUGGUAGAAUGACUUUUUCUUUGUGUAGUGUCUUUCUUUCAUAAACGAUUUUGGCAACUUGUAGUAUUAUGGAGCAUGAAAAGUAGUUGAACAUCCUUUAUCAAAAAACAAGUUUAAUCAACCCCUUUUCUAGCAAAGCUACUCAUGAUGAAAGUCUGUAAAAGGAAAAUGAUAAUUUACAACAUUGUUUUUUUCAAAUUUAGCUCAAGAAAGAGUUUAGAUUAGUCCAUUUUGAUACUUUAACAUCAAUGUAUAUGUAUGAUGAUGCUGUCAGAAUCUUCUUAUAGAGUAGUGAAAUGAUGAAUCGAUAGAUCGUGCUUUUAAAGGAGUUGCUCAGCACUUCAACAAAGUAUUCUCUAAACUAGUGUAAGGUGGUCAUGAUCAUUUGGUUAUGAUGAAGAAAAAGGUUCAGAUAUGAGAACUACUAGGGCUAAAGUGGCU